UACGUAGGGUCCGAGCGUUGUCCGGAAUUACUGGGCGUAAAGAGCUCGUAGGUGGUUUGUCGCGUUGUUCGUGAAAACUCACAGCUCAACUGUGGGCGUGCGGGCGAUACGGGCAGACUAGAGGUAGGUAGGGGAGAAUGGAAUUCCCAGUGUAGAGGUGAAAUUCGUAGAUAUUGGGAAGAACACCGGUGGCGAAGGCGGCUCUCUGGACCGAUACUGACGCGUGAGGCGCGAAAGCGUGGGGAGCAACAGG
Molecule: ribosomal RNA, 253 nt
Filed under: uncultured bacterium
Lineage: Bacteria
Description: partial 16S ribosomal RNA
Rfam family: Bacterial small subunit ribosomal RNA
Source: RNAcentral